This 1440-nucleotide long non-coding RNA is filed under the name Oryctolagus cuniculus (rabbit). RNAcentral describes it as "lncRNA (ENSOCUG00000037726.1)". The record is from RNAcentral. Lineage: Eukaryota; Metazoa; Chordata; Mammalia; Lagomorpha; Leporidae.
AUGCACACUUUUCCUGCGUUUUCCUCCUCUGUCUUUUAUGCUUGGCUGCUAACAAGGUGGCCCACAUUACACAACUCUAGCGAGCCAGCGGACUCCGUCCCCCGGCCCGAGUCUCCGCCAGACUCACCCAUUAGAAAUAAUUUUCUGUUUGAAAUGGGUGUCAACAAUCUCCUCUCGAAGCGGGUAUCCACAGCCUGCCAAUGGUAUGAUUCUCUUUCCGUCUUUAUUUUCAUUGAAGUUACAUACGCACAGAUUUUUAAGUGCCAAAUUGUUCUGUUUUUUUUUUUUUCUUUUUUUGCAGAAAAACAGCGAUCUCCCCAGUUUCCCCUCCCUAGAGGCAACCACUUUCAGCUCUUGUGGCAGAAAAUAAUUCCAAGAAAACAUUGAAGCACCAGAGUUUCAGACCCCUUAUCUCAUCUAACUUUUGUGUAAGAGAUGAGUGCCAGUCUCCUGAAGCAACCCGAACAGUGUGUCCUCUUUUCCUGAAGAGUAUAUGAGACUGGGGUUACAUUUUUCCAGAAGCCUUUGAUAUAACUUAUAUGUGAAGCUAGGACUUUUCCUCACUGAGAGGUUUUAAAUUAGGAAUUCAAUUUUGAAAAAGGAUCUAAGGCUAUUUGAAUUUUUGUAUUGUCCUUGUUAAUUUUGGUAAGAUUUACUUUUAAUUUUUUUAUAAACUGUUGAAUUUAUAGGCACAAAAUCAUUAAUUGUCAUAUCAUCUUGGAGAACUGAAUCCUUUGUCAUUAUGGGAUGGCUGUCUUUAUCAGUGGUAAUGUUUCUCAUCUGAAGCCUCCUUUGAUAAAGCUCUUUUAGCUUUCCUUAGAUUCCUGUCUGCACAGUGUGUUGUUUUCCACCCUUUUUCUCUUUAUCUAUGUCUCUAGAUUAAACUGGCAAUUUUGCAGGUAAGGCAUAGUUGGGUCUUGCUUUUCAUCUGACCUGACAAAUGUCUAUCUUUCUAUUAGUGUUAUUUGCAUUUAAUAUGGUUAUUGAUGUGAUCGAGUUAAAAUUUACCAUUUAACCAGUUGUUUUCUAUUUGUUCCAUCUGUUCUCUUUCUUUUUGCCCUUUUUCUGUUUAAUUGGGUGUUUUUGAUGUUUCACUGUUGUUUCCACUGUUGAGUUAUCAUUUACGACUCUUGAUAACAUUUAGCAGUUGGCUUAGUCUGUAUUGUGCGUGUCUACUUUGAGAUAACAGCACCCUGUUUCACGUCUUGCAUGAGGACGUGAUAUCCCCGAUGCCUGCCUCCCAGUCUCCUUCUGCCAUUGCCACGGAUUCAUCCUCACAUACGCUUCUAAUAUCCGACGCUACCAUCUGUGCCUCACAUAGCUGUCUUCCUACUUGUUCCAUUCCCAGUGCUCUCAAUUUCCUGGUGUGGAUUCAAGUUUCUGUCUGCCACUGUGUUCCUUCUUCCUGAAGAACUCUCUUGAACACUCCUGAGAACCUGA